This 296-nucleotide long non-coding RNA is filed under the name Malus domestica (apple). RNAcentral describes it as "long non-coding RNA (MDOM_LNC014020)". Lineage: Eukaryota; Viridiplantae; Streptophyta; Magnoliopsida; Rosales; Rosaceae. The record is from RNAcentral.
ACUUGAAACACAAUGAUCAAGAAUCACUCUUGAUUCAAUUAGUAGUUUUGAACAAUUAAUUGGGCAUUCUUAAAAAUUGUUUUAAAAUGUCAAUUGUGUUAGUGAUUAAACCAAGAAAGAAGUGUCUAAAUCUAUAAAAGGUUUAAAGACUUUAGUCACUUAAAUAACAAGACAUUAACUUAGUGAAGAAUGAAACAAAUAAGCUUGAAAUGUUUCAAAGCUACUUCACAAUGUCUUCUACCAAUAUAAUCCACUUUUAUACAUUUUGAAUGUAUGAAAUGAUUUCUCAUUAAAGU